Molecule: ribosomal RNA, 454 nt
Filed under: uncultured bacterium
Lineage: Bacteria
Description: partial 16S ribosomal RNA
Rfam family: Bacterial small subunit ribosomal RNA
Source: RNAcentral
ACGGGAGGCAGCAGUGAGGAAUAUUGGUCAAUGGACGCAAGUCUGAACCAGCCAUGCCGCGUGCAGGAAUGAGGCCCUAUGGGUCGUGAACUGCUUUUGUGGUGGAGCAAUAAGUCGUACGCGUACGGCGAUGAGAGUACAUCACGAAUAAGCAUCGGCUAACUCCGUGCCAGCAGCCGCGGUAAUACGGAGGAUGCAAGCGUUAUCCGGAUUUAUUGGGUUUAAAGGGUGCGUAGGCUGUUGCGCAAGUCAGAGGUGAAAUACCCGCGCUCAACGCGGGAACUGCCUUUGAUACUGCGCGGCUGGAAUACUGUUGCCGUGGGAGGAAUGAGUAGUGUAGCGGUGAAAUGCAUAGAUAUUACUCAGAACACCGAUUGCGAAGGCAUCUCACGAAGCAGUUAUUGACGCUGAGGCACGAAAGCGUGGGGAUCAAACAGGAUUAGAUACCCUGGUA